Molecule: transfer RNA, 76 nt
Filed under: Pseudomonadota bacterium
Lineage: Bacteria; Pseudomonadati; Pseudomonadota
Also listed under: 1 other name
Description: tRNA-Ala
Rfam family: tRNA
About the family: Transfer RNA (tRNA) molecules are approximately 80 nucleotides in length. Their secondary structure includes four short double-helical elements and three loops (D, anti-codon, and T loops).
Source: RNAcentral
GGGUCCGUAGCUCAGAUGGGAGAGCGCCUGCUUUGCACGCAGGAGGUCAGCGGUUCGAUCCCGCUCGGAUCCACCA